This 498-nucleotide ribosomal RNA is filed under the name uncultured bacterium. RNAcentral describes it as "partial 16S ribosomal RNA". It matches the Rfam family "Bacterial small subunit ribosomal RNA", at positions 28 to 507 of the family's 1533-position model. The record is from RNAcentral.
GACGAACGCUGGCGGCGUGCCUAAUACAUGCAAGUCGAGCGGACGAAUCGAAAGCUUGCUUUUGAUUCGUUAGCGGCGGACGGGUGAGUAACACGUGGGCAACCUGCCCUGUAGACGGGGAUAACACCGAGAAAUCGGUGCUAAUACCGGAUAACACGAAAUGUCGCAUGACGUUUCGUUGAAAGACGGCGCAAGCUGUCGCUACAGGAUGGGCCCGCGGCGCAUUAGCUAGUUGGUGAGGUAACGGCUCACCAAGGCGACGAUGCGUAGCCGACCUGAGAGGGUGAUCGGCCACACUGGGACUGAGACACGGCCCAGACUCCUACGGGAGGCAGCAGUAGGGAAUCUUCCGCAAUGGACGAAAGUCUGACGGAGCAACGCCGCGUGAGCGAAGAAGGCCUUCGGGUCGUAAAGCUCUGUUGUUAGGGAAGAACAAGUAACGCAGUAACUGGCGUUACCGUGACGGUACCUAACGAGAAGGCCACGGCUAACUACGUG